RNAcentral lists this ribosomal RNA (521 nucleotides) under Desmodesmus armatus var. armatus. Its description in RNAcentral is "eukaryotic LSU rRNA". The stretch from base 65 to 218 matches the Rfam family "5.8S ribosomal RNA". The record is from RNAcentral. Lineage: Eukaryota; Viridiplantae; Chlorophyta; Chlorophyceae; Sphaeropleales; Scenedesmaceae.
UCCUGGUUGAUCCUGCCAGUAGUCAUAUGCUUGUCUCAAAGAUUAAGCCGUUCUAACAAAGAACAACUCUCAACAACGGAUAUCUUGGCUCUCGCAACGAUGAAGAACGCAGCGAAAUGCGAUACGUAGUGUGAAUUGCAGAAUUCCGUGAACCAUCGAAUCUUUGAACGCAUAUUGCGCUCGACUCCUCGGAGAAGAGCAUGUCUGCCUCAGCGUCGGUUUACACCCUCACCCCUCUUCCUUAACAGGAGGCGCCUGUCGUGCUUGCUUAAGCCGGCAGCAGGGGUGGAUCUGGCUCUCCCAAUCGGAUUCACUCUGGUUGGGUUGGCUGAAGCACAGAGGCUUAAACUGGGACCCAAUUCGGGCUCAACUGGAUAGGUAGCAACACCCUCGGGUGCCUACACGAAGUUGUGUCUGAGGACCUGGUUAGGAGCCAAGCAGGAAACGUACUAUGUACGUACUCUGUAUUCGACCUGAGCUCAGGCAAGGCUACCCGCUGAACUUAAGCAUAUCAAUAAGCA